This 316-nucleotide long non-coding RNA is filed under the name Pan troglodytes (chimpanzee). RNAcentral describes it as "long non-coding RNA NONPTRT003872". Lineage: Eukaryota; Metazoa; Chordata; Mammalia; Primates; Hominidae. The record is from RNAcentral.
CUCUUUUUGCUUUCAUGGCCCUGUCCUUCAUUCGUGAUGAGGUCACCUGGCUGGUUCGCCACACAGAGAAUGUCACCAAGACAAAGACACCUGAGGACUAUGCUGACUCGAGCAUUGCAGAGCUACUUUUCUUGUUGGAGGGGAUUAGGUCUCUGGUCCGAAGACACAUCAAAGUGAUACAGCAAUACCACCUUCAGUACUUGGCAAGAUUUGAUGCUCUUGUGCUCAGUGACAUCAUUCAGGUAUGAAAUUUAAUUGAUUAUACUUUGGAAAUUUCAGGAUGAUCCCUAGUGAUUUUCCUAUUGAAACCACUCUG